UAGCGAGUAGUUUAGUAAAAAUAUUGAUUUGUGGUAUCAAGGAUAACCAAUAGGUUCUCGCUAUC
RNAcentral lists this transfer RNA (65 nucleotides) under Laemobothrion atrum. RNAcentral describes it as "tRNA-His". The record is from RNAcentral. Lineage: Eukaryota; Metazoa; Arthropoda; Insecta; Psocodea; Laemobothriidae.